GACGAACGCUGGCGGCGUGCCUAAUACAUGCAAGUUGAGCGAUGAAGAUUGGUGCUUGCACCAAUUUGAAGAGCAGCGAACGGGUGAGUAACGCGUGGGGAAUCUGCCUUUGAGCGGGGGACAACAUUUGGAAACGAAUGCUAAUACCGCAUAAUAACUUUAAACAUAAGUUUUAAGUUUGAAAGAUGCAAUUGCAUCACUCAAAGAUGAUCCCGCGUUGUAUUAGCUAGUUGGUGAGGUAAAGGCUCACCAAGGCGAUGAUACAUAGCCGACCUGAGAGGGUGAUCGGCCACAUUGGGACUGAGACACGGCCCAAACUCCUACGGGAGGCAGCAGUAGGGAAUCUUCGGCAAUGGACGAAAGUCUGACCGAGCAACGCCGCGUGAGUGAAGAAGGUUUUCGGAUCGUAAAACUCUGUUGGUAGAGAAGAACGUUAGUGAGAGUGGAAAGCUCAUCAAGUGACGGUAACUACCCAGAAAGGGACGGCUAACUACGUG
Molecule: ribosomal RNA, 497 nt
Filed under: uncultured bacterium
Lineage: Bacteria
Description: partial 16S ribosomal RNA
Rfam family: Bacterial small subunit ribosomal RNA
Source: RNAcentral